CAGCAGCCGCGGUAAUACGAAGGUCCCGAGCGUUGUUCGGAAUCACUGGGCGUAAAGGGAGCGUAGGCGGCGUGGUAAGCCAGAUGUGAAAUCCCGGGGCUCAACCCCGGAACUGCAUCCGAUACUGCCAUGCUAGAGGAUUGGAGAGGUAGCUGGAAUUCUUGGUGUAGCAGUGAAAUGCGUGGAGAUCAAGAGGAACACUCGUGGCGAAAGCGAGCUACUGGACAAUAACUGACGCUGAGGCUCGAAGGCCAGGGUAGCGAAAGGGAUUAGAUACCCCCGUAGUCCCUGUCUCUUAUAC
This 301-nucleotide ribosomal RNA is filed under the name uncultured bacterium. RNAcentral's name for it is "partial 16S ribosomal RNA". It matches the Rfam family "Bacterial small subunit ribosomal RNA", at positions 509 to 807 of the family's 1533-position model. The record is from RNAcentral.